Molecule: ribosomal RNA, 200 nt
Filed under: uncultured organism
Description: partial small subunit ribosomal RNA
Rfam family: Bacterial small subunit ribosomal RNA
Source: RNAcentral
ACGUCAAGUCAUCAUGGCCCUUACGGUUUGGGCUACACACGUGCUACAAUGGCGGUGACAGUGGGCAGCCACUCAGUAAUGAGGAGCUAAUCCCAAAAAGCCGUCUCAGUUCGGAUUGAGCUCUGCAACUCGAGCUCAUGAAGUCGGAAUCGCUAGUAAUCGCGGAUCAGCACGCCGCGGUGAAUACGUUCCCGGGCCUU